UAAUCCUCUCAACAUAACCACAAGAGCCUGAUCACAAGUUUCCACUUCAUGACUUAUCAAUGUUAUUGGAAAUUCUGAGUCUAAAUCUGUGAAUUCAUGAAAUGUAUCGUCCUGAGAAGUAUAAGACACUUAUUGUUCAGAGAAAUUUCAUCAACAACUAUGGACAUGAGCUCGUGCUCAUUAUUCAAUACAGAACUUUUUAUUUUCAGCAUAUCCAAUAUAUUUUCAUUAAUACCUGGUGAAAUAUGGAGUUUUUCCAGCUAUCGCCUCAAUAAUCUUACUGUGAAGCGCCCAAGACCGAUAGGUGAAUGAAGACAGGCUUAUCGCCUUACCGCGAUUGUACGGCGCGUUGCAGGUACGGACGGGUAAUGAUGCGACAGGCCACAGAUUUAGAGACUAUAGUUAACAAUAUCAAGCUUCCAUUUAUUCCAACAAGGAGAGAGAGCACUCUGUAUAGUACAAUUAUACAAGGUACGAUCGACAAUUAUCAAG
Molecule: long non-coding RNA, 492 nt
Filed under: Androctonus crassicauda
Lineage: Eukaryota; Metazoa; Arthropoda; Arachnida; Scorpiones; Buthidae
Source: RNAcentral